AAUCUGGGGCCCUCGGCCCCCGAGUUGUAAUUUGGAGAGGCAUCUUCGGAGGGGAGCGCCGGCCCAUGUUCCUUGGAACAGGACGUCGCAGAGGGUGAGAAUCCCGUGCCAGGCCGGCAGCCUCCCCUCGAGUGAAGGGCCUUCGACGAGUCGAGUUGUUUGGGAAUGCAGCUCCAAGUGGGUGGUAUAUUUCAUCUAAAGCUAAAUACCGGCGGGAGACCGAUAGCGCACAAGUAGAGUGAUCGAAAGAUGAAAAGCACUUUGAAAAUAGAGUCAAAAAGUACGUGAAAUUGUUGAAAGGGAAGCGCUUGAGACCAGACUCAGACCCGAGCAAACACCGCGCCCCUCGGGGCCGUGCAAUUGCCAGGGGCUGGGCCAGCAUCAGUUGGCGUGGCGGGACAAAGGCGCGGGCAAUGUGGCUCCCCUCGGGGAGUGUUAUUAGGCCCACGCUCAAUGCCGCCGACGUCGACUGAGGACCGCGCCUCGGCUAGGAUGCUGGCUUAAUGGCCUUCAGCGACCCGUCUUGAAACACGGA
RNAcentral lists this ribosomal RNA (535 nucleotides) under Helvella atra. RNAcentral's name for it is "partial large subunit ribosomal RNA". It matches the Rfam family "Eukaryotic large subunit ribosomal RNA", at positions 119 to 665 of the family's 3401-position model. Lineage: Eukaryota; Fungi; Ascomycota; Pezizomycetes; Pezizales; Helvellaceae. The record is from RNAcentral.